Molecule: ribosomal RNA, 253 nt
Filed under: uncultured bacterium
Lineage: Bacteria
Description: partial 16S ribosomal RNA
Rfam family: Bacterial small subunit ribosomal RNA
Source: RNAcentral
UACAGAGGGUGCGAGCGUUGCUCGGAAUCACUGGGCGUAAAGCGCACGUAGGCGGCUUCUUAAGUCAGGGGUGAAAUCCUGGAGCUCAACUCCAGAACUGCCUUUGAUACUGAGGAGCUUGAGUCCGGGAGAGGUGAGUGGAACUGCGAGUGUAGAGGUGAAAUUCGUAGAUAUUCGCAAGAACACCAGUGGCGAAGGCGGCUCACUGGCCCGGUACUGACGCUGAGGUGCGAAAGCGUGGGGAGCAAACAGG